RNAcentral lists this long non-coding RNA (442 nucleotides) under Mytilus galloprovincialis (Mediterranean mussel). The record is from RNAcentral. Lineage: Eukaryota; Metazoa; Mollusca; Bivalvia; Mytilida; Mytilidae.
CAUUAAACAGGUUGGGCUCAAGUCAUGAAACAUGGGGUGGUGCCAGGUUUGUGGGAUGAACACGUUUUUCUGGGGUCGAAAAAACCCACAAAACUGGGGUAAAAAACUUCGUUCAUAGUUUACACAUAAACUGUGAAAAACCGCACCAUGUCAGCUGUUGCGGUAAUCUUUAUCCAACAUGAACUUUUGUUUACGUUAAGUUGUUUGCCAUGGCAAUAUUUAUUCUUUUGUGCAAGUCUCAGGACAAAUGGGCUUCAUAACCGGAAGUGUGAAAAUCAAGUCAUUUAUCAAUAAUAUCAUAUCAUUUCUUUACUUUCUAGACAAAUUGUCUUUCUCACUAACUUUGCCGACUAACAUUACUCCAUCUUGAACAACAAUGCAUGAACAGUAUGAAACAAAGCUUUCUAUUGGUUGAUUAAUCUUUUGACUUUUGUUAAAUUCU